Molecule: ribosomal RNA, 761 nt
Filed under: uncultured bacterium
Lineage: Bacteria
Description: bacterial SSU rRNA
Rfam family: Bacterial small subunit ribosomal RNA
Source: RNAcentral
AUUGAACGCUGGCGGCAGGCUUAACACAUGCAAGUCGAACGGUAACAGGAAGAAAGCUUGCUUUCUUUGCUGACGAGUGGCGGACGGGUGAGUAAUGCUUGGGAAUCUGCCUUAUGGAGGGGGAUAACUACGGGAAACUGUAGCUAAUACCGCGUAAUAUCUUCGGAUUAAAGUGUGGGACCUUCGGGCCACAUGCCAUAAGAUGAGCCCAAGUGAGAUUAGGUAGUUGGUGAGGUAAAGGCUCACCAAGCUGACGAUCUCUAGCUGGUUUGAGAGGAUGACCAGCCACACUGGAACUGAGACACGGUCCAGACUCCUACGGGAGGCAGCAGUGGGGAAUAUUGCACAAUGGGCGCAAGCCUGAUGCAGCCAUGCCGCGUGAAUGAAGAAGGCUUUCGGGUUGUAAAGUUCUUUCAACGAUGAGGAAGGUUGUGUAUCUAAUAGGUAUGCAAAUUGACGUUAGUCGCAGAAGAAGCACCGGCCAACUCCGUGCCAGCAGCCGCGGUAAUACGGAGGGUGCGAGCGUUAAUCGGAAUAACUGGGCGUAAAGGGCACGCAGGCGGUUGUCUAAGUCAGAUGUGAAAGCCCCGAGCUUAACUUGGGAAUUGCAUUUGAGACUGGGCGACUAGAGUCCUCUAGGGAGGGGUAGAAUUCCACGUGUAGCGGUGAAAUGCGUAGAGAUGUGGAGGAAUACCGAAGGCGAAGGCAGCCCCUUGGAGAGAGACUGACGCUGAGGUGCGAAAGCGUGGGUAGCAAACAGG